This 179-nucleotide non-coding RNA is filed under the name Eubacterium plexicaudatum ASF492. Its description in RNAcentral is "6S / SsrS RNA". It matches the Rfam family "6S / SsrS RNA". From Rfam's summary of the family: E. coli 6S RNA was the first non coding RNA to be sequenced, but its function was unknown until recently. It consists of 184 nucleotides that fold into an extended hairpin structure with a large single-stranded internal bulge. Lineage: Bacteria; Bacillati; Bacillota; Clostridia; Eubacteriales; Eubacteriaceae. The record is from Rfam by way of RNAcentral.
ACUUUCCUGGGGUGUUCGAUAACCUGUUAUUUUGAACCUACAUUUUCUUUUACGGGAGUCCAAGAUUUUGAAGUAGAUGUCAGGCCAUCAUUACGCAGUGGAAGGCAGAAGCUUCAUUGAGGUUACCCACCUAGCAUUGCUAGGAGUCAAAAUUGCAGGACCGGCAUUUUGGGAGUACU